AUCUAAGUAGUUUAAUUUUAAAAUAAAGACUUGUGGAUUCUUUGAUGAUUGAUUUACCUAUCCUUAGGUA
RNAcentral lists this transfer RNA (70 nucleotides) under Idiocerini gen. 'Neoamritatus' sp. RNAcentral's name for it is "tRNA-His". It matches the Rfam family "tRNA". From Rfam's summary of the family: Transfer RNA (tRNA) molecules are approximately 80 nucleotides in length. Lineage: Eukaryota; Metazoa; Arthropoda; Insecta; Hemiptera; Cicadellidae. The record is from RNAcentral.